UCUGCUCAGGACGAACGCUGGCGGCGUGCCUAAUACAUGCAAGUCGAGCGGACUUAAAAAGCUUGCUUUUUAAGUUAGCGGCGGACGGGUGAGUAACACGUGGGCAACCUGCCUGUAAGACUGGGAUAACUUCGGGAAACCGGAGCUAAUACCGGAUAAUCCUUUCCUACUCAUGUAGGAAAGCUGAAAGACGGUUUACGCUGUCACUUACAGAUGGGCCCGCGGCGCAUUAGCUAGUUGGUGAGGUAACGGCUCACCAAGGCGACGAUGCGUAGCCGACCUGAGAGGGUGAUCGGCCACACUGGGACUGAGACACGGCCCAGACUCCUACGGGAGGCAGCAGUAGGGAAUCUUCCGCAAUGGACGAAAGUCUGACGGAGCAACGCCGCGUGAGUGAUGAAGGUUUUCGGAUCGUAAAACUCUGUUGUUAGGGAAGAACAAGUACGAGAGUAACUGCUCGUACCUUGACGGUACCUAACCAGAAAGCCACGGCUAACUACGUGCCAGCAGCCGCGGUAAUACGUAGGUGGCAAGCGUUGUCCGGAAUUAUUGGGCGUAAAGCGCGCGCAGGCGGUCCUUUAAGUCUGAUGUGAAAGCCCACGGCUCAACCGUGGAGGGUCAUUGGAAACUGGGGGACUUGAGUGCAGAAGAGAAGAGUGGAAUUCCACGUGUAGCGGUGAAAUGCGUAGAGAUGUGGAGGAACACCAGUGGCGAAGGCGACUCUUUGGUCUGUAACUGACGCUGAGGCGCGAAAGCGUGGGGAGCAAACAGGAUUAGAUACCCUGGUAGUCCACGCCGUAAACGAUGAGUGCUAAGUGUUAGAGGGUUUCCGCCCUUUAGUGCUGCAGCAAACGCAUAAGC
This 861-nucleotide ribosomal RNA is filed under the name Niallia sp. RNAcentral's name for it is "bacterial SSU rRNA". It matches the Rfam family "Bacterial small subunit ribosomal RNA", at positions 19 to 865 of the family's 1533-position model. Lineage: Bacteria; Bacillati; Bacillota; Bacilli; Caryophanales; Bacillaceae. The record is from RNAcentral.